This 473-nucleotide ribosomal RNA is filed under the name uncultured bacterium. RNAcentral's name for it is "partial 16S ribosomal RNA". It matches the Rfam family "Bacterial small subunit ribosomal RNA", at positions 33 to 541 of the family's 1533-position model. The record is from RNAcentral.
ACGAACGCUGGCGGCAUGCCUAACACAUGCAAGUCGAACGAGACCUUUGGGUCUAGUGGCGCACGGGUGCGUAACGCGUGGGAAUCUGCCCUUGGGUUCGGAAUAACAGUGAGAAAUUGCUGCUAAUACCGGAUGAUGUCUUCGGACCAAAGAUUUAUCGCCCAGGGAUGAGCCCGCGUAGGAUUAGCUAGUUGGUGGGGUAAUGGCCUACCAAGGCGACGAUCCUUAGCUGGUCUGAGAGGAUGAUCAGCCACACUGGGACUGAGACACGGCCCAGACUCCAGCGGGGGGAGGCAGGGGUGAGGAUGAGAAGGGGUGGGGGAGCCUGAAAGAGCAAGGGGGGGAGGGUGAAAAGGGACUGGGGGUUGUAAAGCUCUUGUAACGGGGAAGACAGGGAGAGUGCUAGGAGAAUAAGCGCCGUCUAACGCAGUGCGAGCAGGGGCGGUAAGUGUCGGAAGAGCAACUGUCUGAGC